This 84-nucleotide transfer RNA is filed under the name Medicago truncatula (barrel medic). RNAcentral describes it as "tRNA-Leu (CAA) (tRNA-Leu-CAA-7-1)". It matches the Rfam family "tRNA". Rfam says of the family: Transfer RNA (tRNA) molecules are approximately 80 nucleotides in length. Lineage: Eukaryota; Viridiplantae; Streptophyta; Magnoliopsida; Fabales; Fabaceae. The record is from Rfam by way of RNAcentral.
AACAGGAUGGCCGAGUGGUCUAAGGCGCCAGACUCAAGUUCUGGUCUUCGAAAGAGGGCGUGGGUUCAAAUCCCACUUCUGACA